GACGAACGCUGGCGGCGUGCUUAACACAUGCAAGUCGAACGGAAAGGCCCUGCUUUUGUGGGGUGCUCGAGUGGCGAACGGGUGAGUAACACGUGAGUAACCUGCCCUUUGACUUUGGGAUAACUUCAGGAAACUGGGGCUAAUACCGGAUAGGAGCUCCUGCUGCAUGGUGGGGGUUGGAAAGUUUCGGCGGUUGGGGAUGGACUCGCGGCUUAUCAGCUUGUUGGUGGGGUAGUGGCUUACCAAGGCUUUGACGGGUAGCCGGCCUGAGAGGGUGACCGGCCACAUUGGGACUGAGAUACGGCCCAGACUCCUACGGGAGGCAGCAGUGGGGAAUAUUGCACAAUGGGCGGAAGCCUGAUGCAGCAACGCCGCGUGCGGGAUGACGGCCUUCGGGUUGUAAACCGCUUUCGCCUGUGACGAAGCGUGAGUGACGGUAAUGGGUAAAGAAGCACCGGCUAACUACGUG
This 469-nucleotide ribosomal RNA is filed under the name uncultured bacterium. RNAcentral describes it as "partial 16S ribosomal RNA". It matches the Rfam family "Bacterial small subunit ribosomal RNA", at positions 28 to 507 of the family's 1533-position model. The record is from RNAcentral.